Pipistrellus kuhlii (Kuhl's pipistrelle) is the source of this 107-nucleotide small nuclear RNA. The record is from RefSeq and is a predicted model, not a curated record. NCBI's taxonomy places the organism in Eukaryota, Metazoa, Chordata, Mammalia, Chiroptera, Vespertilionidae.
CUGCUCGCUUCAACAGCACAUCUACUAAAAUUGGAAGGAUACAGAGAAGGUUAUCGUGGUUCCUAUGCAAAGAUGACAUGCAAAUUAGAGAUCCAUAAAAUUCUUAU